RNAcentral lists this ribosomal RNA (425 nucleotides) under uncultured bacterium. RNAcentral's name for it is "bacterial SSU rRNA". It matches the Rfam family "Bacterial small subunit ribosomal RNA", at positions 359 to 776 of the family's 1533-position model. The record is from RNAcentral.
GAAUAUUCCACAAUGGGCGAAAGCCUGAUGGAGCGACACCGCGUGAAGGAUGAAGGUCUUCGGAUUGUAAACUUCUUUAGACCUAGAUGAAGACUCAAGGGUGAACAAUCCUUGAGUUUGACAGUAUAGGUAGAAUAAGCCACGGCUAACUCUGUGCCAGCAGCCGCGGUAAUACAGAGGUGGCAAACGUUGUCCGGAUUUAUUGGGUGUAAAGGGCAUGCAGGUGGUUCCGUAAGUCAAAGGUGAAAUGGCCCGGCUCAACCAGGUCAUUGCCUUUGAAACUGCGGGGCUUGAGUGCGGAAGAGGAGAGCGGAAUUCCCAGUGUAGCGGUGAAAUGCGUAGAUAUUGGGAGGAACACCGGUGGCGAAGGCGGCUCUCUGGUCCGAUACUGACACUGAGAUGCGAAAGCCAGGGGAGCAAACGGG